GACGAACGCUGGCGGCGUGCCUAAUACAUGCAAGUAGAACGCACAGUUUAUACCGUAGCUUGCUACACCAUAGACUGUGAGUUGUGAACGGGUGAGUAACGCGUAGGUAACCUGCCUGGUAGCGGGGGAUAACUAUUGGAAACGAUAGCUAAUACCGCAUAAUAUUGAUUAUUGCAUGAUAAUUGAUUAAAAGAUGCUAUUGCAUCACUACCAGAUGGACCUGCGUUGUAUUAGCUAGUAGGUGAGGUAACGGCUCACCUAGGCGACGAUACAUAGCCGACCUGAGAGGGUGAUCGGCCACACUGGGACUGAGACACGGCCCAGACUCCUACGGGAGGCAGCAGUAGGGAAUCUUCGGCAAUGGACGAAAGUCUGACCGAGCAACGCCGCGUGAGUGAAGAAGGUUUUCGGAUCGUAAAGCUCUGUUGUAAGGGAAGAACGGGUGUGAGAGUGGAAAGUUCACACUGUGACGGUAUCUUACCAGAAAGGGACGGCUAACUACGUG
This 505-nucleotide ribosomal RNA is filed under the name uncultured bacterium. Its description in RNAcentral is "partial 16S ribosomal RNA". It matches the Rfam family "Bacterial small subunit ribosomal RNA", at positions 28 to 507 of the family's 1533-position model. The record is from RNAcentral.